UCACGUGCUACAAUGGCAUAUACAGUGGGCAGCUAUUCCGCAAGGAUGCGCUAAUCUCCAAAAGAUGUCUCAGUUCGGAUUGUCCUCUGCAACUCGAGAGCAUGAAGCC
This 109-nucleotide ribosomal RNA is filed under the name uncultured Campylobacter sp. Its description in RNAcentral is "partial 16S ribosomal RNA". It matches the Rfam family "Bacterial small subunit ribosomal RNA", at positions 1218 to 1327 of the family's 1533-position model. Lineage: Bacteria; Pseudomonadati; Campylobacterota; Epsilonproteobacteria; Campylobacterales; Campylobacteraceae. The record is from RNAcentral.